Molecule: long non-coding RNA, 460 nt
Filed under: Gossypium barbadense (sea-island cotton)
Lineage: Eukaryota; Viridiplantae; Streptophyta; Magnoliopsida; Malvales; Malvaceae
Description: long non-coding RNA (GBAR_LNC005695)
Source: RNAcentral
UGAUAGCAUUCCGUGCAACAGCAUCCGAUGGGGGGAUAAGCCAUUGGUGGUGGAGGACAAGGUUCUGGAACCUUUGGUGGUGGUGGUGGUGGUGGUUCUUUUGGUUUCUCAGGUUCCUUAGGCUUUUCGGGUUCUUUCGGCUUUUCGGGUUGUUUCGGUUUCUCGGGUUCUUUGGGUUUUUCGGGUUCUUUCGGCUUUUCGGGUUGUUUAGGUUUCUCGGGUUCUUUGGGUUUUUCGGGUUCUUUUGGUUUUUCUGGUGCUUUAGGCUUUUCGGGUUCUUUUGGUUUUUCUGGUACUUUAGGCUUCUCAGGUUCUUUGGGUUUUUCAGGUUCUUUGGGCUUUUCGGGUUCUUUAGGCUUCUCAGGCUCCUUGGGUUUGGGAGGAGGAGGUGGAGGUUUGAUCUCAAUGCUCUUGAUUGAUCCAGCACCCUUGCAACAUAUCUUGUCCCUCAGCUUCUCAG